RNAcentral lists this ribosomal RNA (308 nucleotides) under uncultured Marinobacter sp. RNAcentral's name for it is "bacterial SSU rRNA". It matches the Rfam family "Bacterial small subunit ribosomal RNA", at positions 30 to 334 of the family's 1533-position model. Lineage: Bacteria; Pseudomonadati; Pseudomonadota; Gammaproteobacteria; Pseudomonadales; Marinobacteraceae. The record is from RNAcentral.
AUUGAACGCUGGCGGCAGGCUUAACACAUGCAAGUCGAGCGGUAACAGGGGGUGCUUGCGCCCCGCUGACGAGCGGCGGACGGGUGAGUAAUGCAUAGGAAACUGCCCAGUAGUGGGGGAUAGCCCGGGGAAACCCGGAUUAAUACCGCGUACGCCCUUCGGGGGAAAGCAGGGGAUCUUCGGACCUUGCGCUAUUGGAUGUGCCUAUGUCGGAUUAGCUAGUUGGUGGGGUAAAGGCCUACCAAGGCGACGAUCCGUAGCUGGUCUGAGAGGAUGAUCAGCCACAUCGGGACUGAGACACGGCCCGA